Molecule: ribosomal RNA, 288 nt
Filed under: uncultured bacterium
Lineage: Bacteria
Description: partial 16S ribosomal RNA
Rfam family: Bacterial small subunit ribosomal RNA
Source: RNAcentral
CUGCCUACGGGAGGCAGCAGUGGGGGAUAUUGCACAAUGGGGGGAACCCUGAUGCAGCGACGCCGCGUGGGUGAAGACGGCCUUCGGGUUGUAAACCUCUGUCGCAGGGGACGAAGGAGAUGACGGUACCCUGUGAGGAAGCCACGGCUAACUACGUGCCAGCAGCCGCGGUAAUACGUAGGUGGCGAGCGUUGUCCGGAAUUACUGGGUGUAAAGGGAGCGUAGGCGGUUUAGCAAGUCAGAAGUGAAAGCCCGGGGCUCAACUCCGGGACUGCUUUUGAAACUGUU